This 85-nucleotide transfer RNA is filed under the name Felis catus (domestic cat). It matches the Rfam family "tRNA". Rfam says of the family: Transfer RNA (tRNA) molecules are approximately 80 nucleotides in length. Their secondary structure includes four short double-helical elements and three loops (D, anti-codon, and T loops). The record is from Rfam by way of RNAcentral. Lineage: Eukaryota; Metazoa; Chordata; Mammalia; Carnivora; Felidae.
GCCUGGGUGGCUCAGUCGGUUAAGAGUCUGACUUCAACUCAGGUCAUGAUCUCGCAGUUCGUGAGUUCAAGCCCCGCCUCGGGCU